Molecule: ribosomal RNA, 253 nt
Filed under: uncultured bacterium
Lineage: Bacteria
Description: partial 16S ribosomal RNA
Rfam family: Bacterial small subunit ribosomal RNA
Source: RNAcentral
UUCGUAGGGGGCAAGCGUUGUCCGGAAUCAUUGGGCGUAAAGAGCGUGUAGGCGGCUUUACAGGUCCGUUGUGAAAACUCGAGGCUCAACCUCGAGACGCCGGUGGAAACCGUAAAGCUAGAGUCCGGAAGAGGAGAGUGGAAUUCCUGGUGUAGCGGUGAAAUGCGCAGAUAUCAGGAGGAACACCCGUGGCGAAAGCGGCUCUCUGGGACGGUACUGACGCUGAGACGCGAAAGCGUGGGGAGCAAACAGG